UCUCUAGUCCAGCGUGGUUUAUGGUGCCAAAUAAGUGCCAGGUGAACUCACUACAUCUGACAAAAUCUCAAGGAACCAAGUUUACCAGAUAAUAUUUAUGAUUAUGUGAAAAAGACUGAGGAAAUCACUCAAGUGAUCCAUCAUACAGCACCUCCAGUUCCAAAGAAUACUGACUUACUUCAGCUGUACUGGUCUGGAGCUGCACAUUCUUUUCAGACAACUCUUGUUCCAGUAAGUUCAGGUGACUCUUCUCCUGUAACAGAGCCUCCUUCUUAGAAACUAUGGCCUCCCGUUUCUUUAAGUCUGCUUCCAGCUCCUCUAAUUCUUGGCGUUGGUUCAGAACUUUCUCUACUUCUUCAUCUAACCAUUUCUUUUGCUCAUCCAAUUUCUACAUUAAAAUUAAAAAAAAAGUUACUUGUUUUUCCUUCUGCCAUAAAAAUUAUAUGGUAAUAAUAGAAUUUCAGAUUGGCUGAAAUCUCUUAAAUGAACAUUUAAAAACUAUCACUCAGAGUAACUCAGGUAGCCAUCUGAGAUCCUAAAGACAUCAGUAGUUCUAGUCAAGAUGUAGCUAUGUUGUUUUAUAAAGAAUUAAAAUUUACUCCCCAGAUAUGUUAAACAGUCUAGGAUUUUUUAGCCUGACGAAGAAAGGGCUGAUAAUUUCCUAUGCCUAUAUUAAGAACAUGCUGGAGUCUUUUACUCUGUUGUAGUGGUGCACAGUUCCAUCACAGCACUUACACUGGUGGCUGCCCUACGUAUCUAUCUCCCCAACUUCAGCUCCUUGAUUGAUUGCAGGGGCUGUAGUUUUUACCCGUCUAUCCACAUGGCUGGUAUAUUGCCUGGGCCACAGUAGGCAUUCAAUAAAAUGUUAAAUGAAUGAGUGAAUGAAUGCCUGAUUCAGUCAGUCAAUGAAGUGAAUAAAUGAAUACACACAGUGGAAGACACAGAUGAUGGAGGAUGGAAGGAAAGCCAAUUUGCAUUGUAGCUUGUCAACCUCAAAUAAUUAUUUUUAAAAAAGAAAAAAAACAAAAAUAAAAAAUUGCUGAAAAGAUCUCCAAAACAA
RNAcentral lists this non-coding RNA (1060 nucleotides) under Pan troglodytes (chimpanzee). The record is from RNAcentral. Lineage: Eukaryota; Metazoa; Chordata; Mammalia; Primates; Hominidae.